RNAcentral lists this ribosomal RNA (497 nucleotides) under uncultured bacterium. RNAcentral describes it as "partial 16S ribosomal RNA". It matches the Rfam family "Bacterial small subunit ribosomal RNA", at positions 28 to 507 of the family's 1533-position model. The record is from RNAcentral.
GAUGAACGCUGGCGGCGUGCCUAAUACAUGCGAGUCGAGCGAACAGAUGAGGAGCUUGCUCCUCUGACGUUAGCGGCGGACGGGUGAGUAACACGUGGAUAACCUACCUAUAAGACUGGGAUAACUUCGGGAAACCGGAGCUAAUACCGGAUAAUAUAUUGAACCGCAUGGUUCAAUAGUGAAAGACGGUUUUGCUGUCACUUAUAGAUGGAUCCGCGCCGCAUUAGCUAGUUGGUAAGGUAACGGCUUACCAAGGCAACGAUGCGUAGCCGACCUGAGAGGGUGAUCGGCCACACUGGAACUGAGACACGGUCCAGACUCCUACGGGAGGUAGCAGUAGGGAAUCUUCCGCAAUGGGCGAAAGCCUGACGGAGCAACGCCGCGUGAGUGAUGAAGGUCUUCGGAUCGUAAAACUCUGUUAUUAGGGAAGAACAAAUGUGUAAGUAACUAUGCACGUCUUGACGGUACCUAAUCAGAAAGCCACGGCUAACUACGUG